RNAcentral lists this transfer RNA (65 nucleotides) under Dipodomys ordii (Ord's kangaroo rat). It matches the Rfam family "tRNA". From Rfam's summary of the family: Transfer RNA (tRNA) molecules are approximately 80 nucleotides in length. Their secondary structure includes four short double-helical elements and three loops (D, anti-codon, and T loops). Lineage: Eukaryota; Metazoa; Chordata; Mammalia; Rodentia; Heteromyidae. The record is from Rfam by way of RNAcentral.
GGUGGCUCAGUGGCAGAGCGCUUGCUUUGCAUGCAUGAGGCCCUGGGUUCGAUUCCUCAGCACCA